CCCUUAGGUGUUCUGGGCCGCACGCGUGCUACACUGAGUGGAUCAGCGGGUCAGGUUGCGCGAAAGCGUUUCCUAAUCUUUAAAUCCGCUCGUGAUGGGGAUUGACGGUUGCAAUUUUCUGUCAUGAACGAGGAAUACCUUGUAAGCGCGGGUCAUCAUCCCGCGCUGAAUACGUCCCUGCCCUUUGUACACACCGCCCGUCGCUCCUACCGAUCGAGUGGUCCGGUGAGGCUUUGGGAUCUGAGCGGAAAGAGCGUUUCGCUGUUUCUGCUCGGAAAACUCAGUCGAACCUUAUCAUUUAGAGGAAGGAGAAGUCGUAACA
This 322-nucleotide ribosomal RNA is filed under the name uncultured eukaryote. RNAcentral describes it as "partial 18S ribosomal RNA". It matches the Rfam family "Eukaryotic small subunit ribosomal RNA", at positions 1470 to 1796 of the family's 1831-position model. The record is from RNAcentral.